This 200-nucleotide ribosomal RNA is filed under the name uncultured bacterium. RNAcentral's name for it is "partial 16S ribosomal RNA". It matches the Rfam family "Bacterial small subunit ribosomal RNA", at positions 28 to 239 of the family's 1533-position model. The record is from RNAcentral.
GAUGAACGCUAGCGGCAGGCUUAAUACAUGCAAGGCGAGGGGGCAGCAAUGUCACCGUCGUACGGGUGCGUAACGCGUAUGCAACCUACCUUUUACUGGGGGAUAGCCCGGGGAAACCCGGAUUAAUACCGCAUAACACAUUUGGAUCACCUGAUUUGAUUUUGUUAAAGAUUUAUUGGUAAGAGAUGGGCAUGCGUUCG